UUCUAGUACAUGUUUUUUAGA
Molecule: non-coding RNA, 21 nt
Filed under: Caenorhabditis elegans
Lineage: Eukaryota; Metazoa; Nematoda; Chromadorea; Rhabditida; Rhabditidae
Source: RNAcentral